GUACCUGCGGAGGGAUCAUUACACAAAUAUGAAGGCGGGCUGGAACCUCUCGGGGUUACAGCCUUGCUGAAUUAUUCACCCUUGUCUUUUGCGUACUUCUUGUUUCCUUGGUGGGUUCGCCCACCACUAGGACAAACAUAAACCUUUUGUAAUUGCAAUCAGCGUCAGUAACAAAUUAAUAAUUACAACUUUCAACAACGGAUCUCUUGGUUCUGGCAUCGAUGAAGAACGCAGCGAAAUGCGAUAAGUAGUGUGAAUUGCAGAAUUCAGUGAAUCAUCGAAUCUUUGAACGCACAUUGCGCCCUUUGGUAUUCCAAAGGGCAUGCCUGUUCGAGCGUCAUUUGUACCCUCAAGCUUUGCUUGGUGUUGGGCGUCUUGUCUCUAGCUUUGCUGGAGACUCGCCUUAAAGUAAUUGGCAGCCGGCCUACUGGUUUCGGAGCGCAGCACAAGUCGCACUCUCUAUCAGCAAAGGUCUAGCAUCCAUUAAGCCUUUUUUUCAACUUUGACCUCGGAUCAGGUAGGAUGCCAGUUCCU
RNAcentral lists this ribosomal RNA (534 nucleotides) under fungal sp. RNAcentral describes it as "eukaryotic LSU rRNA". The stretch from base 187 to 340 matches the Rfam family "5.8S ribosomal RNA". The record is from RNAcentral. Lineage: Eukaryota; Fungi.